RNAcentral lists this ribosomal RNA (465 nucleotides) under uncultured bacterium. RNAcentral's name for it is "partial 16S ribosomal RNA". It matches the Rfam family "Bacterial small subunit ribosomal RNA", at positions 338 to 795 of the family's 1533-position model. The record is from RNAcentral.
CCUACGGGUGGCAGCAGUGGGGAAUAUUGCGCAAUGGGCGAAAGCCUGACGCAGCGACGCCGCGUGAGGGAUGAAGGUCUUCGGAUCGUAAACCUCUGUCAGCAGGGAAGAACGGUCACUGUGCUAAUCAGCAGUGAAUUGACGGUACCUGCAAAGGAAGCACCGGCUCAAUCCGUGCCAGCAGCCGCGGUAAUACGGAGGGUGCGAGCGUUAAUCGGAAUUACUGGGCGUAAAGCGCUCGUAGGCGGUAUGUCAAGUCAAGGGUGAAAUCCCCGCGCGCAACGUGGGAACGGCCUUUGAAACUGGCAAACUGGAGUGUGUGAGAGGAUAGUGGAAUUCCAGGGGUAGGAGUGAAAGCCGUAGAUAUCUGGAGGAACAUCAGUGGCGAAGGCGACUAUCUGGCACAUAACUGACGCUGAGGAGCGAAAGCGUGGGUAGCAAACAGGAUUAGAUACCCUAGUAGUC